Molecule: non-coding RNA, 148 nt
Filed under: Nomascus leucogenys (northern white-cheeked gibbon)
Lineage: Eukaryota; Metazoa; Chordata; Mammalia; Primates; Hylobatidae
Source: Rfam by way of RNAcentral
GCCAGGUGUGGUGGCACACACCUGUAAUCCCAGCUACUCAGGAGGCUGAGAUAGGAGAAUCACUUGAACCCAGGAGGUGGAGGUUGCAGUGAGCGGAGAUCACGCCACUGUACUCCAGCCUGAGUGACAAAGUGAGACUCUGUCUCAA